UACUUUAAGGCUAAGCAAAGUAGGUUAUUAUUAGUUAAGUGAAUUUAUAAAUUAAUUUUUAUUAUGGGUAAUAAAAGGUGAAAUUUAUAUAUUAUCUUGUAAUUUUAUUAAUAAUUUGUAAUUGAAGCUAGUAAAAUUUGAUCAUAAACUAGGAUUAGAUACCCUAUUAUUUCAAGUGAUGUUUAAAAAAUAAUAAAUUAGUAGUAGAUAAACACUUAAAAAUUAAAAAAUUUGGCGGUAAUUUAAUCUUUUCAGAGGAAUUUGUUUCUUAAUCGAUAAUCCACGUAAUAUCUUACUUAUUUUUGUACGACUCAGUUUGUAUACCAUCAUUAUCAGGUAAUUCUUAAAAGAAAAAUUACUAAACCUAAUUGUUUAUGAAAAUUAGAUCAUGGUGCAGCUUAUAAAUAAGUAGAAAUGAAUUACAAUAAAUUGUUUUAGACGAAUUAGUGAAUUAAUAUUGACUAUAAAGGAGGAUUUGAUUGUAAACAAGGUUUAAUAAGCCUUUUUGACAUGAGCACUAAAUUAUGUACAUAUCGCCCGUCGCUUUCAUUAUAAAUGGAAUAAGUCGUAACAUA
RNAcentral lists this ribosomal RNA (575 nucleotides) under Plagusia squamosa. RNAcentral's name for it is "partial 12S ribosomal RNA". The record is from RNAcentral. Lineage: Eukaryota; Metazoa; Arthropoda; Malacostraca; Decapoda; Plagusiidae.